This is a long non-coding RNA of Poeciliopsis prolifica (blackstripe livebearer), 1129 nucleotides long. RefSeq lists it as uncharacterized. The record is from RefSeq and is a predicted model, not a curated record. The transcript is spliced from 4 exons. Lineage: Eukaryota; Metazoa; Chordata; Actinopteri; Cyprinodontiformes; Poeciliidae.
ACAAGUUACCCAAUAAAGAAAGCACAGCAACAGUGUUAGCCAAUGAAAAUGCACUGAAAGCGGGUAUAAACCCUAUAUAAGGGGAGAGCAAAAGAGGAAUGUUUGGUUGGAUUCUCCAGGCAGCUUCGAGUCAAGACCGAGAUGGACAAAGAACUCUGCAGCUGAAGAAGAGCCGGGGCCACAGGGACGAAGACUGUCCUGCGCACGGGGACCAACCCAUCAGCAACAUGUGGCUUCAAAUCGGACUUCUCUCAUCGGCUGGGUUCAGACCCCAAAGACAAAGAUAAAGGAAAAGAUGAAGACCAAAGCAAAGAUGAAGAUCAAGACAAAAAUAAAGACCCAAGUGCUGUGUGACCUCAUCAUCGAUGCAGAGAUGAAAGUUCAUCAGACCAACAGAGAUCCCUGCCUUCAUCAAUCAACCUCCUCUUCCUCCUGCUGCAACACCUUCUUCAUCGACCGUUAACAGAUGUGCUCUGUGGAACUAGUUGGCUGUAGGCUGCUCAGUCUGGCUAAUUCACAGGGGGAAGAAGGGUGGGACAUCUGGAUGUAGGCCGUUAGUAGUCAGGCGAAUCCGGUCUCGAAACCAGCUUAAACAGAGUUUACUUCAGUUCUGGAUAGGGUAAAUCCCAGCAGAUUUAGGAAACUCAAUUUACCCGUUAGAUGGAGAGCUGGUAGCACAUCUUCCCUCUCAGAAGAGGAAGUAGUGACUGAGAGAGUAGAGAGUGAAGGGGGGGGUGUAGCGGCAACAACAACCUGUGAUGAGGUUGGUUCUGUCCCUCCCCAGAGACGAAGCAUUUCCUCAUAUUUGUUUAUCAAACGCUUUCAUAUUUCAUUUUGCUGUGAAGCAGAAAGAUUUAAGAGUGAAGAUCUCAGAGGUUCCUGGUGGUCAGAAUACCCAACAUCAAACAUCCAUAUUUAUGACACAAUUACGCCUUUCGCUCUGAGCCGUGCACAAACGUGGAGAUGAAACUUCGACCUCAUAAGAUUGGAAUAUUUGUGGACUAUGAGAAAGGAGAGGUAUCUUUUUACAACGUCGAUUCAAAGUCCACAUUUACUCUUUUCACGACAUCUUCACUGAAAACCUCUUCCCCUUCUUCAGCCCCUGCACCAACAAAUCAGGAAAAAACGA